RNAcentral lists this ribosomal RNA (400 nucleotides) under uncultured bacterium. Its description in RNAcentral is "bacterial SSU rRNA". It matches the Rfam family "Bacterial small subunit ribosomal RNA", at positions 29 to 430 of the family's 1533-position model. The record is from RNAcentral.
AUUGAACGCUGGCGGCGUGCUUAACACAUGCAAGUCGAUCGGUAACAGGUGUAGCAAUACAUGCUGACGAGAGGCGGACGGGUGAGUAAUGCUUGGGAAUCUGCCUAUUAGUGGGGGACAACCCGGGGAAACUCGGGCUAAUACCGCAUACGCUCUACGGAGGAAAGCCGGGGACCGCAAGGCCUGGCGCUAAUAGAUGAGCCCAAGUCGGAUUAGCUAGUUGGUAGGGAACGGCCUACCAAGGCGACAAUCCGUAGCUGGUCUGAGAGGACGACCAGCCACACCGGAACUGAGACACGGUCCGGACUCCUACGGGAGGCAGCAGUGGGGAAUAUUGGACAAUGGGGCAACCCUGAUCCAGCGACGCCGCGUGGGUGAAGAAGGCCUGCGGGUUGUAAAG